GUUCAGAUGAUAUCAAAUUAAGGAAAAUAGUAAAAUAAAAAUAACCAGUUUUUGCACUUUUGAGCACAGGAGUGACUUCCAUUGACAGUGAUGGGAUUCGCAUGCUAGUAGAACUCCACAAACAUGUAGAAAGAAGAGGCAUCAAGGUAUAGUAAGGAAUCAAAUUAAAGAAUAUAGAAUCAUGUUGUCUGAUACCAAAUAUGACUGGAAUGCAUGCCCUCUACAAUCUGGACUUGAGCAACAACUCAUUU
Molecule: long non-coding RNA, 251 nt
Organism: Zingiber officinale
Lineage: Eukaryota; Viridiplantae; Streptophyta; Magnoliopsida; Zingiberales; Zingiberaceae
Exons: 3
Source: RefSeq, a predicted model, not a curated record